Molecule: long non-coding RNA, 1348 nt
Organism: Brachypodium distachyon (stiff brome)
Lineage: Eukaryota; Viridiplantae; Streptophyta; Magnoliopsida; Poales; Poaceae
Exons: 5
Source: RefSeq, a predicted model, not a curated record
GGGGGAAGCUAGGCCUUUCUGAUCGAUGGUCCAGCGCCAGCCCAACGCCAGCCUCGCGGAACUCGUGGUGGCAGAAGCCCCGUUCCGGAUUCCCGAACGGGCGGCGCAGUGGAGCCGGCCGCCGCUUCCAUCAUCCAGCCCGCCCCCCUUUGGACGCCCUCGCUUGAAUCGGCAGGGCCGUGCGCUUGCGGCUCGUCGACGCCGCCGACUUCCCUGGGGGUGUACGCCCGCGGCUCCGCACCCAUGGGCCAUGGACCCGAGAAGCGCUGGCUUAGCGAGCUCCGGUCAGGUUCUCCGUUUGGCCGUUCGAAGGACGCGCGUACGGCGUCUCUGGUCCUCCGGUGCCAACCGUGGCAUUGCUGGUGCGGUACUUCUCUGUUGUCCGAGGCCAGGCUUUUGUGCUAGCGCUUGAGGCCACCCCAUGCGACCUUCAGCAGGAGCUUGACCAGUUCAUGUAUGGAAUCUGAGCCUUAUCUCUGCAUUGACCCCUAUUGGUGCAAUUUUGAUAAAAUGUCUCGUCAGAUUAUCCUCAUGAAGCGAGAUGGUCGGUGUCCUUGACUAACACUUUGCAACCACGUUCUGGUGGGGGGAGAGCAAUGACAACAGGGGGUAUGCAUGCCAACAUGACAAGGGCUAGAAGCCAUCCUUUGACAAAAGCUACUAUAAAUCCACCGAGGAAUGAAGCCACAAGUUGUAGAAACUUGCCGACCUGAAGAAAAUUUCACAGUAUCAAACUAUGUCAGUUUCUAUACAAGUUGGAAUAUGAUGACUUCAGUUUUGCUUAUGUGCUCACUCGACUUGUAAGUACUUACCUUCUCACCGAUAGCAUCCUGAACUAACACGGUAUCACCUGACAUUCUUGAUACAAUUUUCCCAGUUGUCAUUUCUACAUCAAAGAAUGAUAUAUCUUGUCUCAGGACAGAUUUGAGAUACAGAGACCUAAUGCGUGUCGCCUGCCUUUCACCGAGAGGUGAUUGUUCUUUGAGGAAAUACAGAGGUGAUUGUCUCAGGUUGGUACACGAUCAGAUGUGUUAAUCUCGAACACACGUGGACUGAAAAUACAAAAGGCGCCUUAAACUAAAGAACUCUUGCUGAGAUACUCAAUUUUGAGUUGUAACCUUUUAUACAAAAAUAUAUGGAGCAUGCUUGCUAGAUCAUGCUGCCUAAUUGUGUGGAGCACUUUGUUCAAGAUGGGAAACUGAUGAAAUGUCGAUCAGUUUUUAUCUUGUCAUACAUGAUCCUGAUGGCCAACUGAUAAUGAGAGAGACAAACGUGACAGUGUGUGGAUCAUCUCUGUCCCGUUUCGGACGAGGAAAAAUAUAACUGCACAUGGGCAGAGCUUCAGAUC